Molecule: ribosomal RNA, 774 nt
Filed under: Triticum aestivum (bread wheat)
Lineage: Eukaryota; Viridiplantae; Streptophyta; Magnoliopsida; Poales; Poaceae
Description: partial small subunit ribosomal RNA
Source: RNAcentral
AUGGACCGGGAACACUCGGCUUUGAAGAAAAUGAGAUUGGAGGACGCAGAGGAUUCUGCGAUCAGUCAAGUGCCUGCCACGGCGUCGAGCAUGCAUCAGCAAUUGUUCUGGAGCCAGUGGCAGCUACUGGACUCCAUUCUCCCCACGGGCGGUUUCGCACACUCCUACGGCCUGGAAGCUGCUAUGCAAUCGCGCAUAGUGAACAACCAGGAAGACCUGAGGCUGUUCCUCAUCCAGGUCUUGGACAACAUUGGAAGCCUGCUGCUUCCAUUCGUCUACUGCGCCAGUAGGUCUCCUGAGGCUGCAGCGUGGGUUAAGCUAGAUCAGCUGCUGGACGCUACACUGACAAAUGAGGUCGGCAGGAAGGCGUCCACGUCGCAAGGCUCGGCUCUGUUGAGGGUGGCCGCGUCUGUCUUCACUGAGAUCCAGCCGCUGCAGGAUCUCCGACGGACAUUUCUCGGUUCCAUGAGUGUGUCGUUACACCAUGCACCGAUAUUCGGGUUGAUAUGUGGGCUGGUUGGAUUUGACAGCGAGACAACGCAGCGUGCUUACAUGUUUGUGGCAAUGAGGGAUGUGAUCUCCGCCGCGACGAGGCUCAAUUUGAUCGGACCGCUUGCUGCUUCGGUUCUGCAGCACCAGGUUGCGCCAGAUGCCGAGAAGAUGCUGCAAAAGUGGAAGGACCGUGAUGUCUCUGAAGCAUCACAGACUGCGCCGCUGCUUGACGCGUUGCAAGGCUGCCAUGCUUACAUGUUCUCUAGGCUGUUUUGCUCCUAA